CCCGCUGAACUUAAGCAUAUCAAUAAGCGGAGGAAAAGAAAAUAACAAUGAUUCCCCUAGUAACGGCGAGUGAAGAGGGAAAAGCUCAAAGUUGGAACCUGGUGGGCAUAGCUCACCCGGAUUGUAAACUAAAGUUUUUGAGUCGUUUAGUCAGCCAGGUAAAUAAGUCCUCUGGAAAGGGGCGACAUAGAGGGUGAAAUCCCCGUCUUUGGCCUGAGUUUUGGUUAGGCGUUUGGCUUGGAAACGAAGAGUCAGGUUGUUUGGGAAUGCAGCCUAAAAUGGGAGGUAAAUCUCUCCUAAAGCUAAAUAUUGACGAAAGACCGAUAGCGAACAAGUACCGUGAGGGAAAGAUGAAAAGCACUUUGAAAAGAGGGUCAAAAAGUACGUGAAAUUGCUGAAAGGGAACCGUAUGAAAUCAGACCUACUGGUAGGUAAUCAAUCUUUCCCUUGGGAAGGAUGCACUUGCCUGCUAUGUAUGCCAGCGACAUUUUGGUUGGGAGGAAAAAAAUAGAAGGAAUGUAGCCUAGGCUUCGGUUUAGGUGUUAUAGACUUUUAUAAAAUACUCUCGGCUGGAAUGAGGAACGCAGCAAACCGUAAGGCGAAGAUUCUAGUCGCUUGGGGGGAAUAAUUAGAGAAUUUCUGCUUCGGGUGGUGCUUUGAUUAUUACUUUCAACUCGGUUGGAGUUCUUUUAAUUUGCUUAGGUUGUUGGCUUAAUGAUUUUAUAUGACCCGUCUUGAAACACGG
Molecule: ribosomal RNA, 745 nt
Filed under: uncultured fungus
Lineage: Eukaryota; Fungi
Description: eukaryotic LSU rRNA
Rfam family: Eukaryotic large subunit ribosomal RNA
Source: RNAcentral